RNAcentral lists this transfer RNA (72 nucleotides) under Ovis aries (sheep). It matches the Rfam family "tRNA". From Rfam's summary of the family: Transfer RNA (tRNA) molecules are approximately 80 nucleotides in length. Their secondary structure includes four short double-helical elements and three loops (D, anti-codon, and T loops). Further hydrogen bonds mediate the characteristic L-shaped molecular structure. tRNAs have two regions of fundamental functional importance: the anti-codon, which is responsible for specific mRNA codon recognition, and the 3' end, to which the tRNAs corresponding amino acid is attached (by aminoacyl-tRNA synthetases). tRNAs cope with the degeneracy of the genetic code in two manners: having more than one tRNA (with a specific anti-codon) for a particular amino acid; and 'wobble' base-pairing, i.e. permitting non-standard base-pairing at the 3rd anti-codon position. Lineage: Eukaryota; Metazoa; Chordata; Mammalia; Artiodactyla; Bovidae. The record is from Rfam by way of RNAcentral.
UCCCUGGUGGCUCAAAGGGUAAAGCAUCUGCUUGUGAUGCGGGAGACCCAGGUUCAAUCCCUGGGUCCGGAA